UGUUCUACUCGCCAAACCUGUAACUUUAACAGAGGGUGACAGGGUGACCUUGACGACAGAUGUUCUUAUGGCAACAGAUGGCACGAGCAAACCCGAGAAGCUGCUGUACGCUGUCUCCGUGCCACCUGUGCAUGGUCAGAUUGAGCACAUCAAUUAUCCCGGCGUGCCCAUUUCCAGUUAGAGCCAGUUGGAUGUGGUGGCCCAGAAGGUCUGCGAUGUUCAUGACAAUAGCCAUGAGGCUAGUAAGGAUUCAUUCAGUCUAUUUUCAGAAAGAAACUCAAGUCAGCUGAAUGCUUGAAGGAACAUGACCUGAGAUGUGCAGGAAUUAGAAUAGUUGAACAGUUUCUGGGUUUAAUUCUGAAGAGUCUAGCUGGCUGCCUUCCUUUUUGCCAAUAGCUUAUUACUCAUCCCUGAACUCUUUUCUCCCCGGCUGUUGCAAGAGCUGCUUUUCAUUAGCACCUGGAGGCUCCUGCCUGCUGCAGCGUUGUAGGUGGAGGAACAAGACAAAUCAUCUCCAAAACUCCUGAAGAAAAGCCCAAUCACCGUGCAGAACCUGGGAGAUGGAUGGCCUGCCGUGCCAGUAACUGCUUGUCUUCU
Molecule: non-coding RNA, 597 nt
Organism: Tinamus guttatus (white-throated tinamou)
Lineage: Eukaryota; Metazoa; Chordata; Aves; Tinamiformes; Tinamidae
Source: RefSeq, a predicted model, not a curated record